GGGUUGUGAGGUUAAGCGACUAAGCGUACACGGUGGAUGCCCUGGCAGUCAGAGGCGAUGAAGGACGUGCUAAUCUGCGAUAAGCGUCGGUAAGGUGAUAUGAACCGUUAUAACCGGCGAUUUCCGAAUGGGGAAACCCAGUGUGUUUCGACACACUAUCAUUAACUGAAUCCAUAGGUUAAUGAGGCGAACCGGGGGAACUGAAACAUCUAAGUACCCCGAGGAAAAGAAAUCAACCGAGAUUCCCCCAGUAGCGGCGAGCGAACGGGGAGGAGCCCAGAGCCUGAAUCAGUGUGUGUGUUAGUGGAAGCGUCUGGAAAGGUGCGCGAUACAGGGUGACAGCCCCGUACACAAAAAUGCACAUGCUGUGAGCUCGAUGAGUAGGGCGGGACACGUGGUAUCCUGUCUGAAUAUGGGGGGACCAUCCUCCAAGGCUAAAUACUCCUGACUGACCGAUAGUGAACCAGUACCGUGAGGGAAAGGCGAAAAGAACCCCGGCGAGGGGAGUGAAAAAGAACCUGAAACCGUGUACGUACAAGCAGUGGGAGCACGCUUAGGCGUGUGACUGCGUACCUUUUGUAUAAUGGGUCAGCGACUUAUAUUCUGUAGCAAGGUUAACCGAAUAGGGGAGCCGAAGGGAAACCGAGUCUUAACUGGGCGUUAAGUUGCAGGGUAUAGACCCGAAACCCGGUGAUCUAGCCAUGGGCAGGUUGAAGGUUGGGUAACACUAACUGGAGGACCGAACCGACUAAUGUUGAAAAAUUAGCGGAUGACUUGUGGCUGGGGGUGAAAGGCCAAUCAAACCGGGAGAUAGCUGGUUCUCCCCGAAAGCUAUUUAGGUAGCGCCUCGUGAAUUCAUCUCCGGGGGUAGAGCACUGUUUCGGCAAGGGGGUCAUCCCGACUUACCAACCCGAUGCAAACUGCGAAUACCGGAGAAUGUUAUCACGGGAGACACACGGCGGGUGCUAACGUCCGUCGUGAAGAGGGAAACAACCCAGACCGCCAGCUAAGGUCCCAAAGUCAUGGUUAAGUGGGAAACGAUGUGGGAAGGCCCAGACAGCCAGGAUGUUGGCUUAGAAGCAGCCAUCAUUUAAAGAAAGCGUAAUAGCUCACUGGUCGAGUCGGCCUGCGCGGAAGAUGUAACGGGGCUAAACCAUGCACCGAAGCUGCGGCAGCGACGCUGAUGCGUUGUUGGGUAGGGGAGCGUUCUGUAAGCCUGCGAAGGUGUGCUGUGAGGCAUGCUGGAGGUAUCAGAAGUGCGAAUGCUGACAUAAGUAACGAUAAAGCGGGUGAAAAGCCCGCUCGCCGGAAGACCAAGGGUUCCUGUCCAACGUUAAUCGGGGCAGGGUGAGUCGACCCCUAAGGCGAGGCCGAAAGGCGUAGUCGAUGGGAAACAGGUUAAUAUUCCUGUACUUGGUGUUACUGCGAAGGGGGGACGGAGAAGGCUAUGUUGGCCGGGCGACGGUUGUCCCGGUUUAAGCGUGUAGGCUGGUUUUCCAGGCAAAUCCGGAAAAUCAAGGCUGAGGCGUGAUGACGAGGCACUACGGUGCUGAAGCAACAAAUGCCCUGCUUCCAGGAAAAGCCUCUAAGCAUCAGGUAACAUCAAAUCGUACCCCAAACCGACACAGGUGGUCAGGUAGAGAAUACCAAGGCGCUUGAGAGAACUCGGGUGAAGGAACUAGGCAAAAUGGUGCCGUAACUUCGGGAGAAGGCACGCUGAUAUGUAGGUGAGGUCCCUCGCGGAUGGAGCUGAAAUCAGUCGAAGAUACCAGCUGGCUGCAACUGUUUAUUAAAAACACAGCACUGUGCAAACACGAAAGUGGACGUAUACGGUGUGACGCCUGCCCGGUGCCGGAAGGUUAAUUGAUGGGGUCAGCGCAAGCGAAGCUCUUGAUCGAAGCCCCGGUAAACGGCGGCCGUAACUAUAACGGUCCUAAGGUAGCGAAAUUCCUUGUCGGGUAAGUUCCGACCUGCACGAAUGGCGUAAUGAUGGCCAGGCUGUCUCCACCCGAGACUCAGUGAAAUUGAACUCGCUGUGAAGAUGCAGUGUACCCGCGGCAAGACGGAAAGACCCCGUGAACCUUUACUAUAGCUUGACACUGAACAUUGAGCCUUGAUGUGUAGGAUAGGUGGGAGGCUUAGAAGUGUGGACGCCAGUCUGCAUGGAGCCGACCUUGAAAUACCACCCUUUAAUGUUUGAUGUUCUAACGUUGACCCGUAAUCCGGGUUGCGGACAGUGUCUGGUGGGUAGUUUGACUGGGGCGGUCUCCUCCUAAAGAGUAACGGAGGAGCACGAAGGUUGGCUAAUCCUGGUCGGACAUCAGGAGGUUAGUGCAAUGGCAUAAGCCAGCUUGACUGCGAGCGUGACGGCGCGAGCAGGUGCGAAAGCAGGUCAUAGUGAUCCGGUGGUUCUGAAUGGAAGGGCCAUCGCUCAACGGAUAAAAGGUACUCCGGGGAUAACAGGCUGAUACCGCCCAAGAGUUCAUAUCGACGGCGGUGUUUGGCACCUCGAUGUCGGCUCAUCACAUCCUGGGGCUGAAGUAGGUCCCAAGGGUAUGGCUGUUCGCCAUUUAAAGUGGUACGCGAGCUGGGUUUAGAACGUCGUGAGACAGUUCGGUCCCUAUCUGCCGUGGGCGCUGGAGAACUGAGGGGGGCUGCUCCUAGUACGAGAGGACCGGAGUGGACGCAUCACUGGUGUUCGGGUUGUCAUGCCAAUGGCACUGCCCGGUAGCUAAAUGCGGAAGAGAUAAGUGCUGAAAGCAUCUAAGCACGAAACUUGCCCCGAGAUGAGUUCUCCCUGACCCUUUAAGGGUCCUGAAGGAACGUUGAAGACGACGACGUUGAUAGGCCGGGUGUGUAAGCGCAGCGAUGCGUUGAGCUAACCGGUACUAAUGAACCGUGAGGCUUAACCUUACAACGCCGAAGCUGUU
RNAcentral lists this ribosomal RNA (2930 nucleotides) under Escherichia coli. RNAcentral's name for it is "23S ribosomal RNA". It matches the Rfam family "Bacterial large subunit ribosomal RNA". The record is from RNAcentral. Lineage: Bacteria; Pseudomonadati; Pseudomonadota; Gammaproteobacteria; Enterobacterales; Enterobacteriaceae.